This 675-nucleotide ribosomal RNA is filed under the name Talaromyces pinophilus. RNAcentral describes it as "SSU rRNA". It matches the Rfam family "Eukaryotic small subunit ribosomal RNA", at positions 55 to 737 of the family's 1831-position model. The record is from RNAcentral. Lineage: Eukaryota; Fungi; Ascomycota; Eurotiomycetes; Eurotiales; Trichocomaceae.
AGGUUUAAGGCACUCUUUUACUGUGAAACUGCGAAUGGCUCAUUAAAUCAGUUAUCGUUUAUUUGAUAGUACCCUACUACAUGGAUACCUGUGGUAAUUCUAGAGCUAAUACAUGCGCAAAACCCCGACUUCGGAAGGGGUGUAUUUAUUAGAUAAAAAACCAAUGCCCUUCGGGGCUCCUUGGUGAUUCAUAAUAACUUCACGAAUCGCAUGGCCUUGCGCCGGCGAUGGUUCAUUCAAAUUUCUGCCCUAUCAACUUUCGAUGGUAGGAUAGUGGCCUACCAUGGUGGCAACGGGUAACGGGGAAUUAGGGUUCGAUUCCGGAGAGGGAGCCUGAGAAACGGCUACCACAUCCAAGGAAGGCAGCAGGCGCGCAAAUUACCCAAUCCCGAUACGGGGAGGUAGUGACAAUAAAUACUGAUACAGGGCUCUUUUGGGUCUUGUAAUUGGAAUGAGAACAAUCUAAAUCCCUUAACGAGGAACAAUUGGAGGGCAAGUCUGGUGCCAGCAGCCGCGGUAAUUCCAGCUCCAAUAGCGUAUAUUAAAGUUGUUGCAGUUAAAAAGCUCGUAGUUGAACCUUGGGCCCGUCCUGCCGGUCCGCCUCACCGCGAGUACUGGUCCGGAUGGGCCUUUCUUUUCUGGGGAAUCCCCAUGGCCUUCACUGGCUGUGGCGGA